AUUGAACGCUGGCGACAGGCCUAACACAUGCAAGUCGAACGGUAGCACAGAGAGCUUGCUCUCGGGUGACGAGUAGCGGACGGGUGAGUAACGUCUGGGAAACUGCCCGAUGGAGGGGGAUAACUACUGGAAACGGUAGCUAAUACCGCAUAACGUCGCAAGACCAAAGUGGGGGACCUUCGGGCCUCACACCAUCGGAUGUGCCCAGAUGGGAUUAGCUAGUAGGUGGGGUAAUGGCUCACCUAGGCGACGACCCCUAGCUGGUCUGAGAGGAUGACCAGCCACACUGGAACUGAGACACGGUCCAGACUCCUACGGGAGGCAGCAGUGGGGAGUAUUGCACAAUGGGCGCAAGCCUGAUGCAGCCAUGCCGCGUGUAUGAAGAAGGCCUUCGGGUUGUAAAGUACUUUCAGCGGGGAGGAAGGCGGUGAAGUUAAUAGCUUCACCGAUUGACGUUACCCGCAGAAGAAGCACCGGCUAACUCCGUGCCAGCCGCCGCGGUAA
This 504-nucleotide ribosomal RNA is filed under the name uncultured bacterium. Its description in RNAcentral is "partial 16S ribosomal RNA". It matches the Rfam family "Bacterial small subunit ribosomal RNA", at positions 30 to 523 of the family's 1533-position model. The record is from RNAcentral.